Molecule: ribosomal RNA, 465 nt
Filed under: Vreelandella stevensii
Lineage: Bacteria; Pseudomonadati; Pseudomonadota; Gammaproteobacteria; Oceanospirillales; Halomonadaceae
Description: partial 16S ribosomal RNA
Rfam family: Bacterial small subunit ribosomal RNA
Source: RNAcentral
CCUACGGGUGGCUGCAGUGGGGAAUAUUGGACAAUGGGCGAAAGCCUGAUCCAGCCAUGCCGCGUGUGUGAAGAAGGCCUUCGGGUUGUAAAGCACUUUCAGUGGGGAAGAAAGCCUUGGGGCUAAUACCCUCGAGGAAGGACAUCACCCACAGAAGAAGCACCGGCUAACUCCGUGCCAGCAGCCGCGGUAAUACGGAGGGUGCGAGCGUUAAUCGGAAUUACUGGGUGUAAAGCGCGCGUAGGCGGUCUGAUAAGCCGGUUGUGAAAGCCCCGGGCUCAACCUGGGAACGGCAUCCGGAACUGUCAGGCUAGAGUGCAGGAGAGGAAGGUAGAAUUCCCGGUGUAGCGGUGAAAUGCGUAGAGAUCGGGAGGAAUACCAGUGGCGAAGGCGGCCUUCUGGACUGACACUGACGCUGAGGUGCGAAAGCGUGGGUAGCAAACAGGAUUAGAUACUCCGGUAGUC